Molecule: ribosomal RNA, 301 nt
Filed under: uncultured Methanomicrobiales archaeon
Lineage: Archaea; Methanobacteriati; Methanobacteriota; Methanomicrobia; Methanomicrobiales
Description: bacterial SSU rRNA
Rfam family: Archaeal small subunit ribosomal RNA
Source: RNAcentral
CGAGCGAGACCCACGCCAACAGUUGCCAGCUCGGUCCUCCCGGGGAUGGUGGGGACACUGUUGGGACCGCCGUCUGCUAAAGAGGAGGAAGGAAUGGGCAACGGUAGGUCAGCAUGCCCCGAAUUAUCUGGGCUACACGCGGGCUACAAUGGGUGGGACAAUGGGUAUCGGCACCGAAAGGUGAAGGCAAUCUCCUAAACCCAUCCGUAGUUCGGAUUGUGGGCUGCAACUCGCCCACAUGAAGCUGGAAUCUGUAGUAAUCGUGUCUCAAAAUGGCACGGUGAAUAUGUCCCUGCUCCUU